GACGAACGCUGGCGGCGUGCUUAACACAUGCAAGUCGAACGGUAAGGCCCUUCGGGUACACGAGUGGCGAACGGGUGAGUAACACGUGGUGAUCUGCCCUGCACUUCGGGAUAAGCCUGGGAAACUGGGUCUAAUACCGGAUAGGACCAUGGACUUCACGGUUUGUGGUGGAAAGCUUUUGCGGUGUGGGAUGGGCCCGCGGCCUAUCAGCUUGUUGGUGGGGUAAUGGCCUACCAAGGCGACGACGGGUUAGCCGGCCUGAGAGGGUGUCCGGCCACACUGGGACUGAGAUACGGCCCAGACUCCUACGGGAGGCAGCAGUGGGGAAUAUUGCACAAUGGGCGCAAGCCUGAUGCAGCGACGCCGCGUGAGGGAUGACGGCCUUCGGUGUAACCUACUUUCUAAUAGGACGAAGCGCAAGUGACGGUACCUAUAGAAGUAAGCACCGGCCAACUAACGUGCCAGCAGCCGCGGUAA
Molecule: ribosomal RNA, 477 nt
Filed under: uncultured bacterium
Lineage: Bacteria
Description: bacterial SSU rRNA
Rfam family: Bacterial small subunit ribosomal RNA
Source: RNAcentral